GAUGAACGCUGGCGGCGUGCCUAAUACAUGCAAGUCGAGCGAACGGACGAUAAGCUUGCUUCUCUGCUGUUAGCGGCUGACGGGUGAGUAACACGUGGAUAACCUACCUAUAAGACUUGGAUAACUUCGGGAAACCGGAGCUACUACCGGCUAAUAUUUUGAACCGCAUGGUUCAAAAGUGAAAGACGGUCUUGCUGUCACUUAUAGAUGGAUCCGCGCUGCAUUAGCUAGUUGGUAAGGUAACGGCUUACCAAGGCAACGAUGCAUAGCCGACCUGAGAGGGUGAUCGGCCACACUGGAACUGAGACACGGUCCAGACUCCUACGGGAGGCAGCAGUAGGGAAUAUUCCGCAAUGGGCGAAAGCCUGACGGAGCAACGCCGCGUGAGUGAUGAAGGUCUUCGGAUCGUAAAACUCUGUUAUUAGGGAAGAACAUAUGUGUAAGUAACUGUGCACAUCUUGACGGUACCUAAUCAGAAAGCCACGGCUAACUACGUG
RNAcentral lists this ribosomal RNA (497 nucleotides) under uncultured bacterium. RNAcentral's name for it is "partial 16S ribosomal RNA". It matches the Rfam family "Bacterial small subunit ribosomal RNA", at positions 28 to 507 of the family's 1533-position model. The record is from RNAcentral.